GCUAAUGAGCCCCUCUAUCUAAUUUUUCAUUUUUAAACGUGAACUUCUGGGCCACCCUGUAUAUAUGUACGUGACUUCGACGUCAAUCAAAACAAGUGUUUUGAUAAACAGCUCAGGAUACAGAUUCGAGAAUAAGUGUUUACUUCUUAAUGCGCUUUCAACAUGUGGAAAAUUCUAUUACCAAAACUCGGGACCUAUAAAAAGGGGGCGACAUACGUCUACAACUGGUUCAGUUUGAGCUUCUGGAGAAGUAAACUUGGAGCGAUAACCUGCAAGUAGUUGCAACAUUCUACAGACUACAAGAGACCUGUGAUUUUGGAAAAUCAGCUUGAUGUGUGUAACCUUAGAGAAUAAUCCUAUGGAACCUGUCAUUAGUGUUUCACUCUAAAUUUUUGAAGCUUGAUACUUAUUAAGGACAAAGUGUACAAAAUAUUUUAAAGAUGAUAUAAAGGAAAAUAAUCACUUACUUGUAAGCAAGGCCUCCGUGUUUGCUCUGGCCUCCUGCUGCAUGGCUUGCUGUGUCACCUGGGCAAUGGAUCCAUUGGUCAACUGUUGCAGUUGCAGCUGUGUGGCAUCCAGCUCAUGUUGUAAAUUGCACACCUGGUUAUGCAAUGAUGCAUUUUCAGAUUCCUUACUGGUCAACAUAGUUUUAGUAAACUCCAAUUGCUCUUGUAAAUUAUUAUUUUCAUCACAAAUUGAUGACUUUAUAGUAUUUAAUUCUGUAAUAAUCUUCUCUUUUGAUGUAACUUUUUCUGUUAUUAGCAAAUAUUUACUUUGAAUAGAUUUAAGCUCAUUUUCCAAUUGACUGAUUUGCUGUUUAUAAUAUUUGUUAUUAUUAAUUGCCAAUGUGUACUCAUUUUCAAGUUGAGUAAACUUUGUUUGCAGAUCA
Pectinophora gossypiella (pink bollworm) is the source of this 889-nucleotide long non-coding RNA. RefSeq lists it as uncharacterized. The record is from RefSeq and is a predicted model, not a curated record. NCBI's taxonomy places the organism in Eukaryota, Metazoa, Arthropoda, Insecta, Lepidoptera, Gelechiidae. The transcript has 2 exons.